Molecule: ribosomal RNA, 367 nt
Filed under: Cynorta albicurvata
Lineage: Eukaryota; Metazoa; Arthropoda; Arachnida; Opiliones; Cosmetidae
Description: partial small subunit ribosomal RNA
Source: RNAcentral
UUAGAUACCCUAGUAUAUUUUUGAUUUAUGAUUAUUAUGUAUCAGAAAUUUUAAAUUUUUGGCGGUAAAUUAUUAUGAUAGAGGAGCUUGUUAAAUAGAAUUUACUCUAUAAAUUUUAUUAAUUUGUGUUUAUUUAUUUCCGUUAUUAGGUGAGAACUUUAUAAAUUUACUUUUUAAUUUCAGGUCAAGAUGUAGCAAUAAUUAAGGAAAAUUAGCUACAUUAAACUUUUUAUGGAUUAUCUUAUGGAUAUUACAUUAUGAAAUUGAAUUUAAUUGUAUUUUAAUUUAAAAUGAUUAGAUGAAAAAUUGUAAUUUAUGUAUAUAUUGCCCGUCACUUCUUUUGGUCAAAGAGAAUAAGUCGUAACAA